Moschus moschiferus (Siberian musk deer) is the source of this 1691-nucleotide long non-coding RNA. The record is from Ensembl. NCBI's taxonomy places the organism in Eukaryota, Metazoa, Chordata, Mammalia, Artiodactyla, Moschidae.
CUGGCACAGGCUUGGGCGAGGUGGCAGCUGCAGCUGUGGGUGGCUUUGUUCUUAGAAGCAGCUUUCAGGGCUGUGGUUCAGCCUGGCAGCAGUGUUCCGGGAAUAGGUGAGACAGGAGAGCUGCCCCCUGGUAGCAGUGCCACCUUCCACCACAGCGAUGCUCUAUUUCUGUUGACAGCCAGAGAGUCUUGCUCCCUGGGGUCACCAGCCGGGCUCACUGCUUGGCAGGGUGGGUGCUAUACUUCCAUGUGGCCUGCCUUCCAGAGGGGAGAGGCCCUGAAGAGUCUGGCGGUAAGUCUGGAGGAGCGUCCCUGUCAGGAGAGGGCAGUGUGUACCCUUGGGCAUCCUGCAGCCUGGCAUUCCUUCUGCUCUCUCUUUGCAGCUCCGGAGUUGGGCUGCUCACAGACCAAGCUGUCUGUUUGUAUGGAGUGCCUGGAGGGCGUCUGCCACGAGUCUGUUGCUAACCGUGCUAACCAGGAGAGCUGGCUGGUUGGGGAGAAGACACUAACCCUGCUGGGAAAGGAGAAGGGGGGUCCAGAGGUUGCAGGAAGGCUGACUGCGUGGGGCUCCCUGGUGGUUUGCACAGGUAACUGUAGACAGAUCCUGUCUGCUGCCUCUGGGGGCAGUGCCUGGGGAGUGGGGAGGAGUGUGGUGCGCUUGAUAGGGGAACCUGAGACCUGGAGGCCCUCUAAGCCGCCUCUGUUUCCCUUGAGCCGGGAGGCAGAGGGCAGGAAGCUGCCGGUGCCCACAGAGUGGGAGUGUGUAAACAGGAGUGGGUGCAGGGGCUCCGCAGAUGGUGUGGACCCUGAAUAGAGAGUUAGCAAGCUGGAGGGAAAGGUUGAGGGCAGGAGGAGAAGGGGAUGGCAGAGGAUGACAUGGUUGGAUGGCGUCACCAACUCAAUGGACAUGAGCUUGAGCAGACUCUGGGAGAAGGUGAAGGACAGGGAAGCCUGGCGUGCUGCAGUCCAUGGGAUCACAGAGUCGGACACGACUGAGCGACUGAGCAGCAGCACCCUGGAGGGGCCUGUGGCUUGGCUUUGACCAGAGAGUAGGAGGGGUGCGGAAUGGAGGGUUGGUUCUCCUGAGGGGAGGUCGUGGGGGCGAAGGUCAAGGGCUGCUUCUGAUCUGGGGACUUUUGGGUGGGGGUUGGUUUGCUUGGAUCAUUGUCAUCAGUAGUCUUCAGCCCCUUUCUUCCUGUCGAGUAUUGGCUUGAACAAGAGGCCAGGUGGAUAGACUCAAGGUAUUUGCCCUGGUGGGGAGCCAGGUAAGCUCUCACAGGUCACCAGCACUACUUCUGAGACCUCAGGGUGACUCUGGGGCAGGAUAUUCCCCCCCAUUCUGGUUUGUUAAAUACCUGUAGUCUGUUCCGCUUAGAGUGGGCAGGGGGCCAGGUUAGCGCCGCAGGCAGCAUGUCCCAAAAGGGUGAGGUUGUACUUUCCCAGAGGGGUGGCAGGCCUGCCUGGGGGAGGGGCAGUGGGGCUGGUCUGGGCACAGACUGGCAUCUUCCAGCCUUGUCAUCGGCCCAGAGGAGAGCCUGCCCGGGCCCCACCCGUGUUCUGCUGGCUGCUUGCCUGCCACGCGCCCAGGAUCGCUCAGGGCUUUGCUCAGGUAUCUCGGGAACAGCUGCGCCGGAAACUGGGGGCCGGUGCUGGGAGGAUGGAACACAGGCUGCUUCAGUAGGAUCGGUUCUC